UACGUAGGGACCAAGCGUUGUUCGGAUUUACUGGGCGUAAAGGGCGCGUAGGUGGGCAUGUAAGUCAGUGGUGAAAUCUCCGGGCUUAACCCGGAAACUGCCAUUGAUACUAUUUGUCUUGAAUACUGUGGAGGUCAGCGGAAUAUGUCAUGUAGCGGUGAAAUGCUUAGAUAUGACAUAGAACACCAAUUGCGAAGGCAGCUGGCUACACAAAUAUUGACACUGAGGCACGAAAGCGUGGGGAUCAAACAGG
Molecule: ribosomal RNA, 253 nt
Filed under: uncultured bacterium
Lineage: Bacteria
Description: partial 16S ribosomal RNA
Rfam family: Bacterial small subunit ribosomal RNA
Source: RNAcentral